UAAGCAUCGCAGUGGAAUUAUUAAACUUGUAGUUUGUUUUGAUCCCCGAUUGUUGCAAAGAAGAGGAGAAAGUGGAUUGAUAGAUGCAGGGCUGCACAAGGUACUGAAAAAGGGACAGUGCUUUGAGUGAAUGUGUUAUCCAUGUAUCUGCAAAUGAAGCAGAUCCCCCAGUGAAGAGUGUGACAACUUCCAACUUCCAAGUUGUUAAUGACGGAACUCCAUUUAAAUCAGAUGCUCCUUUCCAUCUGAUGUUUUCCAGGUUUUUGUGAAAAGUUUUCUUAAAAAAUGGCACCAUUCAACCACAAAUACUAUGCCAGUGGAACUGUGAUAUCAAUCAACUGCUUAUGACACUGUUAAUUGGCAGAGAAAUUAUUUUUUUUUUAUUUGGGACAAGCAAUCUGUUUCAAACAUUUUAUGCCUGCAAAUUGGUACAUGUACUUCAUGAAAUGCUUGAAGGAUGCUAAAGGCUACUGAAAUUCCAA
This is a long non-coding RNA of Saccostrea echinata, 482 nucleotides long. RefSeq lists it as uncharacterized. The record is from RefSeq and is a predicted model, not a curated record. The transcript is spliced from 3 exons. NCBI's taxonomy places the organism in Eukaryota, Metazoa, Mollusca, Bivalvia, Ostreida, Ostreidae.